RNAcentral lists this transfer RNA (102 nucleotides) under Gammaproteobacteria bacterium. Its description in RNAcentral is "tRNA-Ala". It matches the Rfam family "tRNA". Rfam says of the family: Transfer RNA (tRNA) molecules are approximately 80 nucleotides in length. Their secondary structure includes four short double-helical elements and three loops (D, anti-codon, and T loops). Lineage: Bacteria; Pseudomonadati; Pseudomonadota; Gammaproteobacteria. The record is from RNAcentral.
GCCUCAGUGGCGGAAUUGGUAGACGCAGGGGACUGGCACUCCCCCGGAAUGUUGCAGCACAAUCUGCAUGACUUGCGGGUUCGACUCCCGCAUGAGGCACCA